UACAGAGGGUGCAAGCGUUAAUCGGAAUUACUGGGCGUAAAGCGUGCGUAGACGGUAGCGUAAGUCGGGUGUGAAAGCCCCGGGCUCAACCUGGGAAUUGCAUUCGAGACUGCUCUGCUAGGGUGCGGAAGAGGGGAGCGGAAUUUCCGGUGUAGCGGUGAAAUGCGUAGAUAUCAGGAGGAACACCGGUGGCGAAAGCGCUUGUCUGGCCCAAUACUGACGCUGAUGCGCGAAAGCUAGGGGAGCAAACGGG
Molecule: ribosomal RNA, 253 nt
Filed under: uncultured bacterium
Lineage: Bacteria
Description: partial 16S ribosomal RNA
Rfam family: Bacterial small subunit ribosomal RNA
Source: RNAcentral